GUGGGGAAUAUUGGGCAAUGGGGGCAACCCUGACCCAGCGACGCCGCGUGGAGGAAGAAGUCCCUCGGGAUGUAAACUCCUGUUGUGUGGGAAGAAGCGAGUGACGGUACCACACGAGGAAGCCCCGGCAAACUACGUGCCAGCAGCCGCGGUAAUACGUAGGGGGCGAGCGUUGUCCGGAAUCACUGGGCGUAAAGGGCACGCAGGCGGACCGACAGGUCGUUUGUGAAAGGCGAGGGCUCAACCCUUGUUUGCGGACGAAACCGUCGGACUGGAGUACCGGAGAGGGAAGUGGAAUUCCCAGUGUAGCGGUGAAAUGCGUAGAUAUCGGGAGGAACACCAGUGGCGAAGGCGGCUUCCUGGCCGGAUACUGACGCUCAAGUGCGAAAGCUGGGGGAGCGAACGGGAUUAGAAACCCUUGUAGUCC
This 427-nucleotide ribosomal RNA is filed under the name uncultured bacterium. Its description in RNAcentral is "partial 16S ribosomal RNA". It matches the Rfam family "Bacterial small subunit ribosomal RNA", at positions 354 to 796 of the family's 1533-position model. The record is from RNAcentral.